UGGGGAAUAUUGCACAAUGGAGGGAACUCUGAUGCAGCGACGCCGCGUGAGUGAUGAAGGAAUUCGUUUCGUAAAACUCUGUUCUAUGGGAAGAAAAGGACUGUACCAUAGGAGAAAGCUCCGGCUAAAUACGUGCCAGCAGCCGCGGUAAUACGUAUGGAGCGAGCGUUGUCCGGAAUUAUUAGGCGUAAAGGGUGCGCAGGCGGCUUUACAAGUUGGAUGUGAAAUAUUGUGGCUCAACCACAAACGUGCAUCCAAAACUGCAAAGCUUGAGUUAAGGAGAGGUAAGUGGAAUUCCUGGUGUAGCGGUGGAAUGCGUAGAUAUCAGGAGGAAUACCGGUGGCGAAGGCGACUUACUGGACUUAAACUGACGCUCAGGCACGAAAGCGUGGGGAGCAAACAGG
Molecule: ribosomal RNA, 404 nt
Filed under: Fusobacteriota bacterium
Lineage: Bacteria; Fusobacteriati; Fusobacteriota
Description: Fusobacteria bacterium partial 16S ribosomal RNA
Rfam family: Bacterial small subunit ribosomal RNA
Source: RNAcentral